UGGGGCGUCGACAAGUGGUAAGUCUCUGGAUUUUGAUUCCAGCAUCCGUAGGUUCGAAUCCUACCGCCCCAGCCA
Molecule: transfer RNA, 75 nt
Filed under: Oligoflexus sp.
Lineage: Bacteria; Pseudomonadati; Bdellovibrionota; Oligoflexia; Oligoflexales; Oligoflexaceae
Also listed under: 2 other names
Description: tRNA-Gln
Rfam family: tRNA
About the family: Transfer RNA (tRNA) molecules are approximately 80 nucleotides in length.
Source: RNAcentral